AAGGGCUUGAGGGGAGGGUGCCUGGGGCUGGGAAGGAUGGUCUUGUGGGGCUGUGGCUGCCUUCAGGUCACACUCUGGGUCUUUGUGGCAGGAACUGGCAGCUGCUGAGCGUGCCAAGCGCCAGGCCCAGCAGGAGCGGGAUGAGCUGGCUGACGAGAUCGCCAACAGCAGCGGCAAAGGAGCCCUGGCGUUAGAGGAGAAGCGGCGUCUGGAGGCCCGCAUCGCCCAGCUGGAGGAGGAGCUGGAGGAGGAGCAGGGCAACACGGAGCUGAUCAACGACCGGCUGAAGAAGGCCAACCUGCAGAUCGACCAGAUCAACACCGACCUGAACCUGGAGCGCAGCCACGCCCAGAAGAACGAGAAUGCUCGGCAGCAGCUGGAACGCCAGAACAAGGAGCUUAAGGUCAAGCUGCAGGAGAUGGAGGGCACUGUCAAGUCCAAGUACAAGGCUUCCAUCACCGCCCUCGAGGCCAAGAUCGCACAGCUGGAGGAGCAGCUGGACAACGAGACCAAGGAGCGCCAGGCAGCCUGCAAACAGGUGCGUCGGACCGAGAAGAAGCUGAAGGAUGUGCUGCUGCAGGUGGAUGACGAGCGGAGGAACGCCGAGCAGUACAAGGACCAGAGCCCCUAACCGGGGCCACGGGCCACACGUCCAUCUCCGCAGGCCGACAAGGCAUCUACCCGCCUGAAGCAGCUCAAGCGGCAGCUGGAGGAGGCCGAAGAGGAGGCCCAGCGGGCCAACGCCUCCCGCCGGAAACUGCAGCGCGA
Molecule: small RNA, 768 nt
Filed under: Pan troglodytes (chimpanzee)
Lineage: Eukaryota; Metazoa; Chordata; Mammalia; Primates; Hominidae
Description: processed transcript
Source: RNAcentral